This 3408-nucleotide long non-coding RNA is filed under the name Mytilus galloprovincialis (Mediterranean mussel). The record is from RNAcentral. Lineage: Eukaryota; Metazoa; Mollusca; Bivalvia; Mytilida; Mytilidae.
AAAAACCUGGACCUCAGGUCGGCAAACUAUAUUUUUACACAGGUAACUACAGAUGUUAGACCACAUGUUCAAUAAUCUGAGCUGGAAAAUACAAUCGGUGAGUAGAAAUUAUCAAUAUUUUAAAGCAUGUCUAUCGAAUAAUCAUGGAUUCAUAAUUUUGAAGGGAAAAUGUGCACAUUUGUCGGCUUACAGACCUUACAAUGUGUUCUCAUUGGCGGAUCCAAAGGGGGGGGGGGUUCCAAGGGUUCGAACCUCCUUUGUUUUGGCCGCUCAAUGCAUUUAAAUGGGGACAUAUAGUUGGACCCCCCUGUUUGUUCUGGGUUGGACCCCCCCUUUUUUAGAAUGGCUGGAUCCGCCACUGAUCCUACGGAAUCUAUAUUGAGAUACUCCGAUAGGCUAUAUAUAGCUAUGAAUCGACGUUCUAUAUUACCACACUCGUGCAUAGUUGCAUGUUCCAGGGAAAAUAUAAGCUUUGAGCCACCUUUGAGCUUCAAUGUUAAAGUUGUGCAUCAUAAUAAAUCAUUGAAAGUCAUAAAGGACACCGUUCCCCUCCCCCUAUUAUCAUGUGUAUGUCAUUUAUUCCCUUAAUUAUUUUGCAUACAUCACCCUGAGUGUGGAAUACAAUAAAAGGUUACUCUAUAUCUUCCCCUUUUUUGUGGGAAUAAUUUGGUCGAUUAUAUAGGGAAUCACUCAAGCAUGACUGGAUCCGUGCCCCUAAGGGCAGUCAGGGGCCCUGUCCCUUAUGAAAAGUUCUGGAUCUGCCACUGACCUGCUACUAUCAUCAUGUAGUGUACAUAUUGUAUGUUAAUGUAUUGCUAAAUCUGGUCGGGUCAUAAAUUUGCAUGAAAUACUUGUCACUGGACAUUUUAUAACCAACAACCAACCGAUCUUUACAUGUACGUAUCCAUAUAAAUGUGUUUCUUAUCAUGCUUAUGCUGGAUUACUAGUAUUUCCCUGGUUUUGCUUUAUCAGCUGAUAGUUUUUGUUCUAUUAAGAAUGCAUUGUGACGUCACGAUUUCCAUAAAAAAAACAUGCAUAGUACAAACACAUAUGAUUUGAUCAUAAAAUGUUAAGAAAAUUAUUAACUUUAAGAUUAAAUAGUGACUUAUUUAGCAAGUGUCCACUUUCAUUUAGAUUUUAAAUAAUUCUCAAAUCACAUGAAUCAUGGACAACAAAACAUUAAUAUAUUUGAUAAUAGCAGGCAUUGAAAGUGAAUAAAUAUUUUAAAAAUGGUUUAAAAUAGCAUUAAUCAUCAAAAUAAAACAAUAUUAUUAAAUUAAUGUUCCUGAAACAAGGCACAGAGUCAUAAACAGUUGCCAUUUAAACACAGUUGAUUAAACAAAUUGUGCUAAUUCAAUUAGUAAUUGUUUUAUCAUGUACUACAUUGUUUAAAAAACACAUAUUAAAAGAGCAAAGCUAGCAUCAUAAUUUUAUUCUUUUUAGAUUUAACAUAGAAUUUAUAUUAAAUCACUAUAAUUUGUUAAUACUUUGAACCCAAACUAUAUAUUUUCAUGUGAAAUUUUUAUAUAAAUUGUGCCCUGUUAGCAUUGUUUUUCAAAAUUCAUUUGUGCCAUACAUGUUAUCUAACUUACAAGUAGUAACAUUCAAUGGUCAUUAUAUUUAUUCCGCAAUGAUUAAGGACCUUCUAAUCAUAAGUCAUAUAUAUUUUUCGACACGCAUUCAAUUGUGUUUUGGUUACUUUAUUGUUGCCUAUUAACUGUUGGGUUGAUGCAUCAUUGAUAUAUCCCACAUCUCCUUUGAUCAUGUGCAUUCACAUACGACUGCAGAUUUUUUGCAUUUUUUACAUAAUCAUGAUAAUUAUUUUAUGUUAACAUUCAAUAUGUCAGGAAAACAUAACAAAAAAAUCUAUCUGUAUGCAUAUUUUUUUAUGUUAACAUGGUAUAAACUUUUUUAAAGUAUUUUAUGAAGCUCAAAUAUUUUUUUUAUAGAUAUAGUAUUAUCCAGUAAGUUCUCAUAAAAUUUACUGUGUUAACUGCAUUGUAUGUGUUGUAUCUACUAAUUUAGUCUAAAACAAUUUUUUUUUAAUUCAAAUUCAAAAUAAACAAUUAAAAUAUUUGUAUUUACUGAAUAUGACCAUGCAAAUGUGACAUUAAAAUAGGUAAUAAUCAGGAUGUUAACACUGGAUAUGCGAUAGGUAAUAAUCAGAAAUUCUUAUAUACAUGAUGUAGCUAAUAUACAAAUUAAGACACAAUAGUUUAUUGCCCUGGGGGAUGAUAUUUAAUCUGUCAUUGGUAUAAUGAUACAAUUUUAUAAUAAUGUUCACAAAUUAUCAUGAUUAAAAUUGUCCUCUUCAAAAUUUUGAUAACUUUUUCAAAACAAAUUAUAAUUUAAGAAAAAUAUGAAACAGCAGGAUAUACUAUUAUUUUGGAUAUUAAAAUGCAAAUUUUAAAAGUAAUCUGAAUAUUGAUUUAUUAAAAUAAAAUUGGGUAAAUAACUAAAUUAAAUAAAAAAGUGAGCUGCAAAGCAUUAUUUAAUGCAAGCUGUUAUAACAAAUGAAUAAGUAAAAAGUAUUCAGGGUAACACAAAAGAUGUAAAAAUUAUUAAACUCAAGGAUUUAAAACAUUAACUGGGAUGGUUAAGUCUUGGAACAAUAUUUUUACAUCACAAAGGUUUAUUCAUUAUAUGCACUGGACAAAGGUAAAGUCAAUAUCAUCUACAUGUAUAUAUAUAGUAACAGUGCAUUUAUUUUAUUUUAUUUUUUCAUUCCUUAAACUUUUCUUUGUCAUGUUUGUAGUAUCAAUAUAUUUCAUAUUAAAUGAUAAACAUAAUUAAAAUGAACAAAAGAAAUAACCUGUUGUGUUUUAGAGAGGAAUAACUAUGUCCAUGAUGUCUGACUUUAAAGAAUUGAUGAAAUAAAGUAUGGUGUGAGCCUCAAUAAGACAGUAACCCUUCAAUGAAAGUACACAAUCACACUUAAAAAAUCAUUAAUGCAGGAAAAAAGACAACACUAUAUAGAAUUUAGACCCCCUUAAAAGAUUUAUUUUUCUUGUUAAUAGGGACUUGAAAAUAGAAUUGUAUUAGUGCUAGAAUUUUUUGGUCAAUCAAAUGAGAAGUGCUAGUUUUAUCUAGGUAAAUACAGUUAUUGUAAUUAACUUUCUUAUUAUUGCACAAUGUAUAUACAUGUAGUAUUAUAUAUUUAUUAUUAGUUAAACAUUUACUGUACUUGAGUCUAAAUGUAUAUUUUAUUUUGUAGAAUCAUACUGAAUAUGUAUUGGUUUGACCAUGAUUCCCACUUAGAAUAUGACACCUGCUAGUACAUGUGCACUUUGAUGCAUAGAAAAUAUAGAUGUCACUGAGUCGCUCGUAUAGCUGCAAAUUGUGAAACAAUGGAUUAAUUCAUUAUUUAAUGCUAGUUAUCUAUUGUUUUUGGAAAUUAUGAAUAUGGCG